GGGGAUUUAGCUCAGAUAUAUAAGCACCUGCCUUGCAAGCAGGCGGUUGUGAGUUCAAUCCCCA
This 64-nucleotide transfer RNA is filed under the name Cavia porcellus (domestic guinea pig). It matches the Rfam family "tRNA", at positions 1 to 62 of the family's 71-position model. From Rfam's summary of the family: Transfer RNA (tRNA) molecules are approximately 80 nucleotides in length. Their secondary structure includes four short double-helical elements and three loops (D, anti-codon, and T loops). Lineage: Eukaryota; Metazoa; Chordata; Mammalia; Rodentia; Caviidae. The record is from Rfam by way of RNAcentral.